RNAcentral lists this ribosomal RNA (405 nucleotides) under uncultured bacterium. RNAcentral's name for it is "partial 16S ribosomal RNA". It matches the Rfam family "Bacterial small subunit ribosomal RNA", at positions 29 to 526 of the family's 1533-position model. The record is from RNAcentral.
AUUGAACGCUGGCGGCAGGCCUAACACAUGCAAGUCGAACGAGUGGAGGACGGGUGAGUAAUGCUUGGGAAUCUGGCUUACGGAGGGGGAUAACGACGGGAAACCGUCGCUAAUAAUGCGAAACCGAGGAUGAGCUCACGGGGGAGUAGGUAGUUGGUGGGGUAAUGGCCUACCUAGACGACGAUGUUCAGCUGGUCUGAGAGGGUGACCAGCCACACCGGAACUGAGACACGGCCCGGACUCCUACGGGAGGCAGCAGUGGGGAAUAUUGCGCAAUGGGGGCAACCUGACGCAGCCAUGCCGCGUGAAUGAAGAAGGCCUUCGGGUUGUAAAGUUCUUUCGGUGACGAGGCGUUAAUCACAGAAGAAGCACCGGCUAACUACGUGCCAGCAGCCGCGGUAAUAC